RNAcentral lists this long non-coding RNA (314 nucleotides) under Elaeis guineensis (African oil palm). RNAcentral's name for it is "long non-coding RNA (EGUI_LNC028333)". Lineage: Eukaryota; Viridiplantae; Streptophyta; Magnoliopsida; Arecales; Arecaceae. The record is from RNAcentral.
CAGGGAAAGGUUGGGGGUGGUCCAGGUCCGAUCAAAACCCCAUGGGUGGUUGGCGGCAAUAUAGAAAAAUUUUUCCUUCCACCCAUGGAUAGAAGAAGGGAGUUUCUUAAAAAUUUGUUGCCGGAGCCGAGGGCAGAAGAACCACCACCCCCAUUCUCGGAGAUGUUUCCUCAAGACAAAGAUGGCCCGAAACAAAGAGACUCGGGAUUCAAUGUGGAGAAGAUGAUAGAGGAUGACAAAACAAGAAAGAAUACGAAUGGAAUUAAGGGCAAGUUAAGCAGGAACGACCUCAUACAGAUCGAACAUGUUGGUGA